Molecule: ribosomal RNA, 398 nt
Filed under: uncultured Pseudoflavonifractor sp.
Lineage: Bacteria; Bacillati; Bacillota; Clostridia; Eubacteriales; Oscillospiraceae
Description: bacterial SSU rRNA
Rfam family: Bacterial small subunit ribosomal RNA
Source: RNAcentral
UGGGGAAUAUUGGGCAAUGGGCGAAAGCCUGACCCAGCAACGCCGCGUGAAGGAAGAAGGCCUUCGGGUUGUAAACUUCUUUUACCAGGGACGAAGGACGUGACGGUACCUGGAGAAAAAGACCACGGCUAACUACGUGCCAGCAGCCGCGGUAAUACGUAGGUGGCAAGCGUUGUCCGGAUUUACUGGGUGUAAAGGGCGUGUAGGCGGGACUGCAAGUCAGAUGUGAAAACUCAGGGCUCAACCCUGAGCCUGCAUUUGAAACUGUAGUUCUUGAGUACUGGAGAGGCAGACGGAAUUCCUAGUGUAGCGGUGAAAUGCGUAGAUAUUAGGAGGAACACCAGUGGCGAAGGCGGUCUGCUGGACAGCAACUGACGCUGAGGCGCGAAAGCGUGGGG